GAUGAAGAACGCAGCGAAAUGCGAUAAGUAAUGUGAAUUGCAGAAUUCAGUGAAUCAUCGAGUCUUUGAACGCACAUUGCGCCCCCUGGUAUUCCGGGGGGCAUGCCUGUCCGAGCGUCAUUGCCGCCUUCAAGCACGGCUUGUGUGUUGGGCCCCCGCCCCCCGGCUUCGGGGGGCGGGCCCGAAAGGCAGCGGCGGCACCGCGUCCGGUCCUCGAGCGUAUGGGGCUUCGUCACCCGCUCUGUAGGCCCGGCCGGCGCCCGCCGGCGACCCCAAUCAAUCUUUCCAGGUUGACCUCGGAUCAGGUAGGGAUACCCGCUGAACUUAAGCAUAUCAAUAAGCGGAGGA
RNAcentral lists this unclassified non-coding RNA (348 nucleotides) under soil metagenome. RNAcentral's name for it is "partial contains 5.8S ribosomal RNA, internal transcribed spacer 2, and large subunit ribosomal RNA". The stretch from base 1 to 120 matches the Rfam family "5.8S ribosomal RNA", at positions 35 to 154 of the family's 154-position model. The record is from RNAcentral.